RNAcentral lists this microRNA precursor (57 nucleotides) under Gadus morhua (Atlantic cod). RNAcentral describes it as "microRNA gmo-mir-11224a precursor". Lineage: Eukaryota; Metazoa; Chordata; Actinopteri; Gadiformes; Gadidae. The record is from miRBase by way of RNAcentral.
ACAAUUCAGCUGCAGAUAUCCGUAAAUACAAAGUGGAUAUCCGCAACUGAAUUGUAG